This 387-nucleotide unclassified non-coding RNA is filed under the name soil metagenome. RNAcentral's name for it is "partial contains 5.8S ribosomal RNA, internal transcribed spacer 2, and large subunit ribosomal RNA". The stretch from base 1 to 120 matches the Rfam family "5.8S ribosomal RNA", at positions 35 to 154 of the family's 154-position model. The record is from RNAcentral.
GAUGAAGAACGUAGCGAAAUGCGAUAAGUAAUGUGAAUUGCAGAAUUCAGUGAAUCAUCGAAUCUUUGAACGCGCCUUGCACCCUUUGGCAUUCCGAAGGGUAUGCUCGUUUGAGUGUCAUUGUACUCUCACACUCUCCGAUCCUAUGGAUUCGGGGAGCGGUGGACUUGGGUGUUGCUGCCUUUCCCUGUGGCUCACCUCAAAUGCGUCAGUGCACCUCUUGGUUGGACAUAGUACGGCGUGAUAAGUGUCUUCGCCGGCACCUCGCAAGAGGGUGGCCGAUCGGGAGCUCUGCGCUUUCAAACCGUCUUCGGACAAUUUCUGACAUCUUGACCUCAAAUCGAGUAGGACUACCCGCUGAACUUAAGCAUAUCAAUAAGCGGAGGA